Molecule: long non-coding RNA, 964 nt
Organism: Dreissena polymorpha
Lineage: Eukaryota; Metazoa; Mollusca; Bivalvia; Myida; Dreissenidae
Exons: 4
Source: RefSeq, a predicted model, not a curated record
AUUGCACGUUAUCGUUUUUCAAAGAAUGGAGUCUCUUUCUUGGAAAAUCUUCUUAAGGACGAUUUGCAACGGCAAACAAACAGAAACCAUGCGCUGACAUCAAUCCAACAAAUCCUCAUAACAUUGAGAUUUUUUGGUACUGGAGCAUUUUAUUCAGUCAUUGGAGACACUCUAGGAUUCCACAAAUGUACGGUAUCUAGAGUUGUUGAAAAUGUAACGGAUGCCAUCAUCAAGCACUUGCACGAGUUCGUUGUGUUGCCAUCACCAGCGGAGAAGGAAAGAGUUAAACAAGGCUUUUAUGCAGUUGCUGGAUUUCCGAAUUUACAUGGCUGCAUAUAUGGUACAUACAUCGCAUUCAGGCACCUCAUAAUGAUGAAGCUUCAUAUAUCAAUCGAAAAGGCUUUCACAGCAUAAAUGUCCAAGCUGUCUGUUAUCAUCAAGGAAAUUUACAAGUGUCAAUGCCAGUUGGCCAGGGUCAUGCCAUGAUACCCACAUAUUCAGGACAUCUGGUCUUUGUGCAAAACUGGAGAGGGAAAAUCAGAACUUUGCUGAUGGUGUGCUCUUAGGAGAUAGUGGUUACCAAUUCAAAGUCCGUGGCCAAUGAAAGAUACCAGCAAGCCCACGCUCGGACACGAACCAUCAUUGAAAGAAGCUUUGGAAGACUGAAGCGUAGAUUUGCUGUGCUCCACUCUGAGGUUAGAUUGUCGCCGGCAAAGGUAUGCAAGAUAACAACAGCAUGCGUGAUACUAUACAACAUUUGCAUCGCUCUAAACGAACCUGACAUUGAUUCUGAUGAAAAUCAAGACAAUACAGAUGCAGUCUUCAAUCAUGCUGUGAACGGAAACGGAAGCGGGACUCACAUACGCGAUUACAUUGUCAACAGAUAUUUCGCGUAAUUAAGAAAAACUGUUUCUCGAAUUUAUGUAACGACAUUAAAUAUAAAGUGCAUAAUCUAACACAAUUA